UGGGGAAUAUUGCACAAUGGGCGCAAGCCUGAUGCAGCCAUGCCGCGUGUAUGAAGAAGGCCUUCGGGUUGUAAAGUACUUUCAGCGGGGAGGAAGGGAGUAAAGUUAAUACCUUUGCUCAUUGACGUUACCCGCAGAAGAAGCACCGGCUAACUCCGUGCCAGCAGCCGCGGUAAUACGGAGGGUGCAAGCGUUAAUCGGAAUUACUGGGCGUAAAGCGCACGCAGGCGGUCUGUCAAGUCGGAUGUGAAAUCCCCGGGCUCAACCUGGGAACUGCAUUCGAAACUGGCAGGCUAGAGUCUCGUAGAGGGGGGUAGAAUUCCAGGUGUAGCGGUGAAAUGCGUAGAGAUCUGGAGGAAUACCGGUGGCGAAGGCGGCCCCCUGGACGAAGACUGACGCUCAGGUGCGAAAGCGUGGGGAGCAAACAGG
This 429-nucleotide ribosomal RNA is filed under the name Chloroflexota bacterium. RNAcentral describes it as "Chloroflexi bacterium partial 16S ribosomal RNA". It matches the Rfam family "Bacterial small subunit ribosomal RNA", at positions 355 to 776 of the family's 1533-position model. The record is from RNAcentral. Lineage: Bacteria; Bacillati; Chloroflexota.